CUAGCGGUGGCCCUCGCAUCG
This 21-nucleotide microRNA is filed under the name Marchantia polymorpha subsp. ruderalis. The record is from RNAcentral. Lineage: Eukaryota; Viridiplantae; Streptophyta; Marchantiopsida; Marchantiales; Marchantiaceae.